This 410-nucleotide ribosomal RNA is filed under the name uncultured bacterium. Its description in RNAcentral is "bacterial SSU rRNA". It matches the Rfam family "Bacterial small subunit ribosomal RNA", at positions 370 to 772 of the family's 1533-position model. The record is from RNAcentral.
AAUGGGCGCAAGCCUGAUCCAGCAAUGCCGCGUGCAGGAAGAAGGCCUUCGGGUUGUAAACUGCUUUUGUCAGGGAAGAAAUCUUCUGGGCUAAUACCCCGGGAGGAUGACGGUACCUGAAGAAUAAGCACCGGCUAACUACGUGCCAGCAGCCGCGGUAAUACGUAGGGUGCGAGCGUUAAUCGGAAUUACUGGGCGUAAAGCGUGCGCAGGCGGCUUUGCAAGACAGAUGUGAAAUCCCCGGGCUCAACCUGGGAACUGCAUUUGUGACUGCAAGGCUAGAGUACGGCAGAGGGGGAUGGAAUUCCGCGUGUAGCAGUGAAAUGCGUAGAUAUGCGGAGGAACACCAAUGGCGAAGGCAAUCCCCUGGGCCUGUACUGACGCUCAUGCACGAAAGCGUGGGGAGCAAA